CCUACGGGGAGCAGCAGUGGGGAAUAUUGGGCAAUGGGCGCAAGCCUGACCCAGCAACGCCGCGUGAAGGAAGAAGGCUUUCGGGUUGUAAACUUCUUUUGUCAGGGAAGAGUAGAAGACGGUACCUGACGAAUAAGCCACGGCUAACUACGUGCCAGCAGCCGCGGUAAUACGUAGGUGGCAAGUGUUGUCCGGAUUUACUGGGUGUAAAGGGCGUGUAGGCGGGUUGACAAGUCAGAUGUGAAAUCCUGCGGCUUAACCGCAGAACUGCAUUUGAAACUGUUGAUCUUGAGUACUGGAGAGGCAGAUGGAAUUCCUAGUGUAGCGGUGAAAUGCGUAGAUAUUAGGAGGAACACCAGUGGCGAAGGCGGUCUGCUGGACAGCAACUGACGGUGAGGCGCGAAAGCGUGGGGAGCAAACAGGAUUAGAUACCCGAGUAGUC
RNAcentral lists this ribosomal RNA (442 nucleotides) under uncultured bacterium. RNAcentral describes it as "partial 16S ribosomal RNA". It matches the Rfam family "Bacterial small subunit ribosomal RNA", at positions 338 to 795 of the family's 1533-position model. The record is from RNAcentral.